This is a long non-coding RNA of Brassica napus (rape), 2285 nucleotides long. RefSeq lists it as uncharacterized. The transcript is spliced from 4 exons. The record is from RefSeq and is a predicted model, not a curated record. NCBI's taxonomy places the organism in Eukaryota, Viridiplantae, Streptophyta, Magnoliopsida, Brassicales, Brassicaceae.
UUUUGGCGGAAAAAUAGCAUUUUUACGGUUUUGGCGAAAAUAUUUGUGCGGGUUUUAAGGAAAAAUGUGUUUUUGAUGAAAAAGUGUAUUUAUGUGGGCUUGGCGAAAAAUAUAUUUUUGCGGUUUUGGGGGGAAAAGUGUAUUUUUGCGGUUUUAUUGAAAAAUGUGUUUAUGACGAAAAAGUGUGUUUUUGUGGGUUUGAUGGGAAAAUGCGUUUUUGCGGUUUUGGAGGGAAAAUGCGUUUUUACGGUUUAGGCGGAAAACAACUUUUUCCGGUUUUGGCGGAAAAAGUGUGUUUUGCGGUUUUUGCGGGAACAUGCGUUUUUGCGGUUUUGGCGGGAAAUAUAUUUUUACAGUUUUGGCGGAAAAUGCAUUUUUCGAUUUUGGCGGUCAAAUGCAUUUUUCCGAUUUUGGCAGGAAGUGCGUUUUUCCGAUUUUGGCGGGAAAAUACGUUUUCCGGUUUUGGUGGGAAAUGCAUAUUUACGUUUUUGCCUUUUUGACGAGAAAAUACGUUUUUACGGUUUUGGCGGAAAAGUGUGUUUUUAUCGAUUUGGCCGAAAAGUGUGAUUUUACUAGUUUGGCCGAAAAUUGCGUUUUAUAGAAAUGUGCGUUUUCCCGUUUUUUGCGGAAAACACAUUUUUGUGGUUUUGACAGGAAAGUCUGUUUUUCAGUUUUGGGAGGAAAAUGCAUUUUUCGGUUCUAGCGAAAAAAUUUAUAUGCAAAAAAAUAAAAAGAAUUUUUGGUUUGAAAAUAAUAUUUUGAUUUUAAAAGAUUAUUUUAUGUAAUUUAUCAUUUUGGACCGAGUCUAGAUGCACCAUUAAGAGUCAUCUUCAUUUGGAUGAAAAUUUGAGAUGAGUUUUUAAAAAUUCAAUAAGGUAAUGUAUCUGAAUGUAGCAUUUUAAUGUACAAAAGUAACAUUCAUUUGUAUCUUCACCUCGAUGGAUAGUAAGCGAACGAACGACACCUUGGUGUAAUCGUGGGCCGAAUGUCGUUGUGCGGCCGUGAAGAAAGAGUUCUUCCCUAACCCUAAUACCGAAGAGACGAUGAAUUGACGCCUUUCUGAUAUCUAUCUCCGGCUGGCUAGCUGCCAUUUUUUUCCGGAAGUUCGAGCAAUGGGUUCCUCUGUGAUUACUUCACUGUCGCUGAGCUUCAAACAAGUUCCUCCAACAGCUGUUCCUGCUUUUCUCGACUCUGUUCUAAGCUCCACAGGUGUGUCUCCCUCCACCCUUUUCGAAUCCCUCAUCAAAGAAUUGCCUUUUCGUGCGGAGAACACCAUUAAUGGCGACAAGAAAUUCACUUCUGAUGAUUGCAACCACAUUGCUUCGUUGGUGUCUGGUCUUUGUCAUUUACUAAAGAGUUUUGGUUUGGGUACUGAAGAUAAUCAUAAUGCCUUGCAGUUGUUUAUGUGGAGAGUGUUUGUUCCACUGAUGAAGAUGGUUCGUGUUUGUUUAAUCGUUCUUUGAUGUUGUGAUGGAGACAAGUGCAUUGAUUGUAUUGGAAGUGAGUUUGGUGCCUUUUUUUACUGAGAUUAGUUGGGGUUUCGAUGGGAAUGCUUCAACAAGAAGAAUCAGAUUUCAUUAAAUGGGGAGAGCUGUUGCUUCGUGACUCUUUGAGUACAAAUAAUAUGUAUGAAAACUACAUUGCAUCUUUUUGAGUCAUUUCCGAUUCCACUGUCGUGCCAUCUAUUGAAUCUGUUACUGAGCGCUGCUUUUCAAAGUCACCAAGCAGCUCGAGAGGCUUUUGUCACAAAGUGUGGAGCAUCGUUCAUGUGCUGUUAGUUUCCUUCUCCCUGCUAUUUUCAAGGCAUUCUCUUCUCAGUCUUCUCUGAAGAUCUCACUUCAAGGGAACGUGUACAUAAUUUCAAGGAAUGGCUUCAAGAAAAUAAUAUGGGAAUGCUGCAAGAAGCUGUUCUCGGUUGGAUCAAUAGAGGCCUUUCUUCUGGCUCUUGGACGGACGGAACAGAAAGUUAUGUCUUAGAAAAAGGCCGUGUCGAAUUUGACUUUAGGUCCGAACACGAGUUAGUUUUGGGAAGAAAUCAAGAAAGGCUUGAUAUGGCAAAAGUACCUGUUAUUCGUACAGAUUCUUUCACUUUCUAAAAUAGGAUCAUCCAUGAGUGUAAAAACCCUAUCCUUUCAGGUUUUUGAUGAGAGUUUAGUAAGGAAGGAGUCAUUGCACAUUCUUAAAUCGGUUUUAUCCAUAAGUGAAGCGAGUAAGACGAUUUCUGGGAAGAAUUGUAUGGCUCUGUUGAAUCUGCUUUGUUAGGAUAUUGUUUUGUCUCCCACUGA